Molecule: long non-coding RNA, 799 nt
Filed under: Cervus hanglu yarkandensis (Yarkand deer)
Lineage: Eukaryota; Metazoa; Chordata; Mammalia; Artiodactyla; Cervidae
Description: lncRNA (ENSCHYG00000023520.1)
Source: RNAcentral
AUGACAAGACAUUCUAAUCCAAGGAAAGGUUAUGAAAUUGGCUUCCUUCUCCUUGCCUUCCAUGAUGUGUGUGUAUAUAUAUAUAUAUUCAUCUUUUUCUCAUCAUUAAUAAUGGAGGUAUUUGUCACCUGCUCUUCGACCAGCACCUCCAUCUGCUUCCACCAGCCCUGCAUCCUGCCCUGCAUCCAGCUUCCAGACUGGACUCCUCGACACAUCCCUACACAUGCUUCUUCUAUAAGAGGAGGCUGUCCUGAUCUAGAGGUGGAUGGAGAAGAGGCAGUCAGAGAAUGCGGCAAGAAUUUAUGUAAGAAGAUGAUGAAAAGGAACAGGUCACUCAAUGACCUAUUGGAUGGAAUGUGAGCUAUUUAUUCGAUAAAUAUUUUGUUGAGUGUCUACAUGCGCAAGAUGGUUGUGGAAAGGACAAAGAGGCACCCGGGAAUUUGGGACAAGAUGUGUUCUGUAAUACUUGUUUAUUUAGGAAAAUGGGAUUUGUAAUUCCCAGGAAACUUUGAUCCUUGGUGGUUACUGCUCAGUCCCAAACUUCUGCUGCUUCACCCAGCUAGUCUCUCUCUCUCUCUCUCUCCCCCUCUCACUCACUCUCACACACACACACACACACACACACACACACACACACACACACNNNNNNNNNNCACACACACACACACACACACACACACACACACACACACACACCCUCCUCCUGCUCCUGAGCCCUUUGUCUGAGUGAUGUCAGCUCAGGAGACAGUACCUAGGAGCCUCCAGGAGAAGAACCAUAGCAUCAGAAGAUAGAAGGAAU